GUGCUUGUUUCGGCAGCACUAUAUUAAAAUUGUAACGAUACAGAGAAGAUUAGCAUGGCCCCUGAGCAGGGAUGACACUCAAAAGCACUAUCUGGCAGCAGAGAUGA
This 107-nucleotide small nuclear RNA is filed under the name Microtus ochrogaster (prairie vole). Lineage: Eukaryota; Metazoa; Chordata; Mammalia; Rodentia; Cricetidae. The record is from RNAcentral.